UACGUAGGGUGCAAGCGUUGCCCGGAAUUAUUGGGCGUAAAGAGUUCGUAGGCGGUUUGUCGCGUCCGUUGUGAAAGCUUGGGGCUCAACCCCAAGUCUGCAGGCGAUACGGGCAGGCUAGAGUUCGGUAGGGGAGACUGGAAUUCCUGGUGUAGCGGUGAAAUGCGCAGAUAUCAGGAGGAACACCGGUGGCGAAGGCGGGUCUCUGGGCCGAUACUGACGCUGAGGCGCGAAAGCUAGGGGAACAAACGGG
Molecule: ribosomal RNA, 253 nt
Filed under: uncultured bacterium
Lineage: Bacteria
Description: partial 16S ribosomal RNA
Rfam family: Bacterial small subunit ribosomal RNA
Source: RNAcentral